Molecule: ribosomal RNA, 389 nt
Filed under: Streptococcus dysgalactiae subsp. equisimilis AKSDE4288
Lineage: Bacteria; Bacillati; Bacillota; Bacilli; Lactobacillales; Streptococcaceae
Description: bacterial SSU rRNA
Rfam family: Bacterial small subunit ribosomal RNA
Source: RNAcentral
AUCUUAAUGAGAGUUUGAUCCUGGCUCAGGACGAACGCUGGCGGCGUGCCUAAUACAUGCAAGUAGAACGCUGAGGACUGGUGCUUGCACCGGUCCAAGGAGUUGCGAACGGGUGAGUAACGCGUAGGUAACCUACCUCAURGCGGGGGAUAACUAUUGGAAACGAUAGCUAAUACCGCAUAAAAGUGUUUAACCCAUGUUAAACAUUUAAAAGGUGCAACUGCAUCACUAUGAGAUGGACAUGCGUUGUAUUAGCUAGUUGGUGAGGUAGCGGCUCACCACGGCGACGAUACAUAGCCGACCGGAGCGGGUGAUCGGCCACACUGGGACUGAGACACGGCCCAGACUCCCACGGGAGGCAGCGGUAGGGAAUCUUCGGCAAUGGACGG